GGACUACAGGGGUAUCUAAUCCUGUUUGCUCCCCACGCUUUCGUGCCUCAGCGUCGGAUACGUCCCAGUCGCCCGCCUUCGCAUCCGGUGUUCCGCAUGAUAUCAACGCAUUUUACCGCUACACCAUGCAUUCCGGCGACCUCUCCCGUCCCCUAGCCCCGCAGUUCCGGCCGCACUUCCGGGGGUGAGCCCCGGGAUUUCACGGUCGGCAUACGAAGCAGCCUACGCACGCUUUACGCCCAGUAAAUCCGAACAACGCUCGGGACCUCUGUAUUACCGCGGCUGCUGGCAC
RNAcentral lists this ribosomal RNA (292 nucleotides) under uncultured Verrucomicrobiota bacterium. Its description in RNAcentral is "uncultured Verrucomicrobia bacterium partial 16S ribosomal RNA". The record is from RNAcentral. Lineage: Bacteria; Pseudomonadati; Verrucomicrobiota.